CUACGGGGGGCACCAGUGAGGAAUAUUGCACAAUGGGGGGAACCCUGAUGCAGCAACGCCGCGUGGAGGAUGACGCAUUUCGGUGUGUAAACUCCUUUUAUAUGUCAAGAAAAUGACGGUAGCAUAUGAAUAAGCACCGGCUAACUCCGUGCCAGCAGCCGCGGUAAUACGGAGGGUGCAAGCGUUACUCGGAAUCACUGGGCGUAAAGGACGCGUAGGCGGGUUGGAAAGUCAGGUGUGAAAUCCUACAGCUUAACUGUAGAACUGCACUUGAAACUUCUAAUCUAGAGUAUGGGAGGGGGAGAUGGAAUUAGUGGGGGAGGGGUAAAAUCCGUAGAUAUCACUAGGAAUACCUAAAGCGAAGGCGAUCUCCUGGAACAUUACUGACGCUAAGGCGUGAAAGCGUGGGGAGCAAACAGGAUUAGAUACCCCCGUAGUC
RNAcentral lists this ribosomal RNA (439 nucleotides) under uncultured bacterium. Its description in RNAcentral is "partial 16S ribosomal RNA". It matches the Rfam family "Bacterial small subunit ribosomal RNA", at positions 339 to 795 of the family's 1533-position model. The record is from RNAcentral.